GCCGGUGUGGUGGAAUUGGUAGACACGUUGGAUUCAAAAUCCAAUGGGGUCAAACCCGUGCCGGUUCGAGUCCGGCCACCGGUACCA
Molecule: transfer RNA, 87 nt
Filed under: Mycoplasmatota bacterium
Lineage: Bacteria; Bacillati; Mycoplasmatota
Also listed under: 1 other name
Description: Tenericutes bacterium tRNA-Leu
Rfam family: tRNA
About the family: Transfer RNA (tRNA) molecules are approximately 80 nucleotides in length. Their secondary structure includes four short double-helical elements and three loops (D, anti-codon, and T loops). Further hydrogen bonds mediate the characteristic L-shaped molecular structure. tRNAs have two regions of fundamental functional importance: the anti-codon, which is responsible for specific mRNA codon recognition, and the 3' end, to which the tRNAs corresponding amino acid is attached (by aminoacyl-tRNA synthetases). tRNAs cope with the degeneracy of the genetic code in two manners: having more than one tRNA (with a specific anti-codon) for a particular amino acid; and 'wobble' base-pairing, i.e. permitting non-standard base-pairing at the 3rd anti-codon position.
Source: RNAcentral